This is a long non-coding RNA of Cyprinus carpio (common carp), 989 nucleotides long. NCBI's taxonomy places the organism in Eukaryota, Metazoa, Chordata, Actinopteri, Cypriniformes, Cyprinidae. The record is from Ensembl.
AUGAAAGUGAAUAUUUAGCAACAUUUUACUGCUCAAAGAAUUUUAUCCCUGUAUAAAUGUCCUGUAUAAAUGGACUGUAGCUUAAUUUUGUCAUGUGACAUCUCUUCUGUUUUCAGGUUCAGUUGGUUCUGGAAUCUUUUGCUGUUGUUUUGCUGUGUUAUUUAUAGCGAAACCACCUCUAUACUUGUACCAGGAGAAAAAGGAGGCAACGCCACACUGCCUUGUGAAUUAAAGGAUAGAGACAUUUUUAAUGUUAUUUUAAACCGUCAAUCAAAAAACAUCCCUGUUUGUAAGACUGAAAACUGUAGUGGGCGAGCAUUUAAAAUAGGAGCCUGUGACAUUGUCAUCAAGGAUCUGAUCUUCAGUGAUGCUGGGAAGUACAUUAUGAGAGUCUUUUAUGGCAAAGAUCAGACAGAGCUGGAGCAACGAAGGGAGUACAAUCUUCAUAUUCAUGAUGAGACUUUAGUGAAAAUCGGUGAGGAGCUGAAGUUGGAUGUUCUGUUGUCUAAUGCUGAUAAAGUGGAGACAAACUCCAGUGGAGAGUGGAGGGAGGUGUGGAGCAGAACUGAUGGGGUCCUGGAUCAUCAUCUGAAUGACAGUGAUGGAUACCUGACCAUUAAAGGUUUUACAGCCAGUGACACUGGAACAUACAGAGUUCUGGACUCUAAAGGAGAAACCUUGAUCACAGUCACAGUCAGAGAAUAUAGUACAGAAUAUAAGAAAAAGCGGGAUGGUGACAAUGAUACAAAUUAUACUGUACUGUAUGUCGUGCUGUCUGUGGUGUUGGGGGUCCCGGUUCUGGUUCUGAUUACAUUUGUUUUCGUCAAGAAACUGCACAGGAACCCAGAACAUGAUCCCGACCAGAGGGUCCCACUGCAGGACAGGAUCCCAGAACAUGAUCCCCACCAGAGGGCCCCACUGCAGGACAGGAACCCAGAACAUGAUCCCGACCAGAGGGUCCCGUAGCAAUAAAUUAUCCUGGAAGCCCA